UGGGGAAUAUUGGACAAUGGGGGCAACCCUGAUCCAGCAAUGCCGCGUGAGUGAUGAAGGCCUUCGGGUUGUAAAGCUCUUUUGGCGGGGACGAUGAUGACGGUACCCGCAGAAUAAGCCCCGGCUAACUUCGUGCCAGCAGCCGCGGUAAUACGAAGGGGGCAAGCGUUGUUCGGAAUUACUGGGCGUAAAGGGCGCGUAGGCGGCCUUCUAAGUCGAACGUGAAAUCCCCGGGCUCAACCCGGGAACUGCGUCCGAUACUGGAAGGCUUGAAUCCGGGAGAGGGAUGCGGAAUUCCAGGUGUAGCGGUGAAAUGCGUAGAUAUCUGGAGGAACACCGGUGGCGAAGGCGGCAUCCUGGACCGGCAUUGACGCUGAGGCGCGAAAGCCAGGGGAGCAAA
RNAcentral lists this ribosomal RNA (400 nucleotides) under uncultured bacterium. RNAcentral describes it as "bacterial SSU rRNA". It matches the Rfam family "Bacterial small subunit ribosomal RNA", at positions 355 to 772 of the family's 1533-position model. The record is from RNAcentral.